GGAGUUGUGGCUCAGCGGAAGAGCGCUCGCCUAGCAUGUGUGAGGCCCUGGGUUUGAUCCUCAGCACCA
RNAcentral lists this transfer RNA (69 nucleotides) under Ictidomys tridecemlineatus (thirteen-lined ground squirrel). RNAcentral describes it as "Spermophilus tridecemlineatus (thirteen-lined ground squirrel) tRNA". It matches the Rfam family "tRNA". Rfam says of the family: Transfer RNA (tRNA) molecules are approximately 80 nucleotides in length. The record is from Rfam by way of RNAcentral. Lineage: Eukaryota; Metazoa; Chordata; Mammalia; Rodentia; Sciuridae.